AGAGUACGUGAAACCGUCUAGAGGUAAUCGGGUGGACCCGUCCAGUCGGCCCUCGGAAUUCAGCUCUCGGGCAAGUCUGCCGGCGUAGUUUUGAGAUUUCAGGACUCGCUCGGCGCCGGACCGGACGCUCGGGAGUGCACUUUCCGUGUUGGCAGAGCGUCGCGACCGGUUUUGCGGCGGUGAUAAGGCCCGGGGGAAGGUAGGUACUCGGUCUUCGGGCCUUGGACUGUUAUAGCCCUCGGGAGAUAGCCGCUGCGGGACCGUGGAACGACCAGCCGUGUGGCAGUGAGGCUCUCCGCGUGCGUCUCAACUCUGGAGGACUGGUAUCUGCCGUGCUCUGGGACAGCGUUACGCGGACGGGCUCUGCUAUAGCCUGCGGCGUUGUAAGGGUCAGCGACACACGAUCGGUAAUCCACCCGGCCCGUCUUGAAACACGGACCAAGAAGUCCAACAUGUGCGCGAGUCAUUGGGUGUUACGAAACCUAAAGGCGUAAUGAAGGUGAAGGCGAGUUCGGCUCGCUGAGGUGAGAUCCCAGGCCGCCGUGUCGGGGCGCAUCACCGGCCCGUCUGCAAAGGCGGAGCUAGAGCGCACACGUUGGGACCCGAAAGAUGGUGAACUAUGCCUGAGCAGGACGAAGCCAGAGGAAACUCUGGUGGAAGUCCGCAGCGAUUCUGACGUGCAAAUCGAUCGUCAAAC
This 697-nucleotide ribosomal RNA is filed under the name Pseudorimula midatlantica. RNAcentral describes it as "partial large subunit ribosomal RNA". It matches the Rfam family "Eukaryotic large subunit ribosomal RNA", at positions 392 to 910 of the family's 3401-position model. The record is from RNAcentral. Lineage: Eukaryota; Metazoa; Mollusca; Gastropoda; Lepetellida; Lepetodrilidae.